GAUGAACGCUGGCGGCGUGCUUAACACAUGCAAGUCGAACGAUGAAGCCCAGCUUGCUGGGUGGAUUAGUGGCGAACGGGUGAGUAACACGUGAGUAACCUGCCCUUAACUCUGGGAUAAGCCUGGGAAACUGGGUCUAAUACCGGAUAGGAGCGUCCACCGCAUGGUGGGUGUUGGAAAGAUUUAUCGGUUUUGGAUGGACUCGCGGCCUAUCAGCUUGUUGGUGAGGUAAUGGCUCACCAGGGCGACGACGGGUAGCCGGCCUGAGAGGGUGACCGGCCACACUGGGUCUGAGACACGGCCCAGACUCCUACGGGAGGCAGCAGUGGGGAAUAUUGCACAAUGGGCGCAAGCCUGAUGCAGCGACGCCGCGUGAGGGAUGACGGCCUUCGGGUUGUAAACCUCUUUCAGUAGGGAAGAAGCGAAAGUGACGGUACCUGCAGAAGAAGCACCGGCUAACUACGUG
Molecule: ribosomal RNA, 466 nt
Filed under: uncultured bacterium
Lineage: Bacteria
Description: partial 16S ribosomal RNA
Rfam family: Bacterial small subunit ribosomal RNA
Source: RNAcentral